CACUAAUGUCUCAGAUGCAGUUCAUCACCCUCUGAGACAUCAGAUGUUCUUCAUAGCAAGAACAGGAUGCAGUGAUCUUGCUCUGAAUGUUUGUCUCCUGGCCACUAUUGUGCACUUCUAACAAGGGCCUGUGUUUCAGGUGGACGAUCAAGGGUUAAUUCUGGCAGAGAGGGGCUGUUGUGACCAGAGGCCUGCAUAGCUCAUGCAGCUACAGGAGUGAGUCAUAUCUUCUCUGUUCAGCUGCACAGCCUGCUGCAUAGUCAAGAUUUUAUAAGCAUGAAGCAAAUGAAAUGAGGCGCAUACCUGAAAACCAGGAUCUGACAAAAACAAAUCUAUAGAAGAAUAACUAUACAUUUUUAAAGCCAAGG
This is a long non-coding RNA of Pezoporus flaviventris, 368 nucleotides long. RefSeq lists it as uncharacterized. The record is from RefSeq and is a predicted model, not a curated record. The transcript is spliced from 3 exons. Lineage: Eukaryota; Metazoa; Chordata; Aves; Psittaciformes; Psittacidae.